This 85-nucleotide transfer RNA is filed under the name Pseudomonas aeruginosa. Its description in RNAcentral is "tRNA-Leu". It matches the Rfam family "tRNA". From Rfam's summary of the family: Transfer RNA (tRNA) molecules are approximately 80 nucleotides in length. Their secondary structure includes four short double-helical elements and three loops (D, anti-codon, and T loops). RNAcentral also lists the same sequence under 59 other names. Lineage: Bacteria; Pseudomonadati; Pseudomonadota; Gammaproteobacteria; Pseudomonadales; Pseudomonadaceae. The record is from RNAcentral.
GCCGGAGUGGCGAAAUUGGUAGACGCAGUUGAUUCAAAAUCAACCGCCUUCGGGUGUGCCGGUUCGAGUCCGGCCUUCGGCACCA